RNAcentral lists this ribosomal RNA (447 nucleotides) under Blastocystis sp. RNAcentral describes it as "SSU rRNA". It matches the Rfam family "Eukaryotic small subunit ribosomal RNA", at positions 477 to 940 of the family's 1831-position model. RNAcentral also lists the same sequence under 1 other name. Lineage: Eukaryota; Bigyra; Opalinata; Blastocystidae. The record is from RNAcentral.
ACAAUGCGGGACUAUCAGUCUUGCAAUUGGAUUGAGAACAAUGUACAACUCUUAUCGAUAAGCCAUUGGAGGGCAAGUCUGGUGCCAGCAGCCGCGGUAAUUCCAGCUCCAAUAGCGUAUAUUAACGUUGUUGCAGUUAAAAAGCUCGUAGUUGAAGUGUGGGUGAUCGCUGUUGUGAGACUUCGGUCUCUCGACAGUAAGUCACCCCCUUCCAGUAUCCAGUAGUGGGUAUUCAGUUACUUACUAUUGUGUGUUGGUCAUUUACUGUGAGAAAAUUAGAGUGUUCAAAGCAGGCGUUUGCUUGAAUAGAUUAGCAUGGAAUAAUAAUUGAAGGCUUUCGUGUUCGAUUUGAUUGGUUUGUUCAUGGAAGCAAGGUUAAAAGGAACAGUUGGGGGUAUUCAUAUUCACUAGUUAGAGGUGAAAUUCUCGGAUUUAUGGAAGAUGAAC